AUUGACACCAUUCUUAGACAUCUAUUGAAGUCAAAUUCCUCAACCAUAUAAGAUUGCAAUAAGAGUAAUCUUUUUGAGUCGGUGCCUACUUUAUUAUUGAGGCAGGGCAUUGUUGUAGUUUCAGUACCCGGAAUGCUGGCUACAAAAAGGUAAUUCUAAUAUGAUAUAAUGUUAGAUUUUUCUCAUGGUGAAACUACUACAAAUCUAGGCCUCAACAGAAUGAAUGCCUUAUAUGCUAUUAAAAUUUUGAAA
Molecule: unclassified non-coding RNA, 252 nt
Filed under: Hevea brasiliensis (rubber tree)
Lineage: Eukaryota; Viridiplantae; Streptophyta; Magnoliopsida; Malpighiales; Euphorbiaceae
Source: RNAcentral